GUAUAAUCAUCAGUCAGACUCUCAUCUGAUCAUCUUCUGAAGGAGACGCAGCUUACAAAUGGCUUUCAGAUCCGGGUUUCUAACCGCUCUAAAAGUUAUAAAUAAUGGUCAAACUAAUCAUCUUGUUUGAGCUGCUUUUCCUGAGUAAAUCUACUCAACCCUACAAUGAGACUCCAUUGAUGUGCUUGAGCUGUUAGAUGGACAUUUAUGUUCUUAGCAGAUGUUUUAUCAUCCAAACUAUUUUCUAGAAAGUUCACAGAGAGUGUAAGUGUCAAAUACUAGAAUCUGUAGCUCUAAUGUGAUUUAAUGAAUAUGAGAAGAAUGAAGCUGAUGCUGUGAAAGUGCUGGAUUGAGUUACUAAAGAUCAGUGAAGUAAACAAGAGCCGCACAAAUCUGAUGUUCCUGCAGGUUAUUGGGUGAAGUGUGGAGCUGAUGAGUUUUGAUUUCUGUUUUCUGUAGAGUUUUCAGUCUCUCUCAGCACCUCCUGAAUCUACAGACGUAAAUGAUGAUCUCUUCAGUUAUCUCUUCUCUUCUGAUGAUCUGAGAGAAUCUGUCCAUCAACUGAGAGACAAACUGGAGUAUUUCUGCAAAGAGCAGCUCAAGAAGAUCUCAGACAGAGUCACACUCACAUUCACCAACAUUGAUCACUGGACCAGGAAGGACUUCCUACAAUAUUCCCAUCGGCUCACUCUGGAUCUGAACACAGUGAAUGAACUCCUCCGUCUGUCUGAGAACAACAGAGUGAUGACUGCCACUGUCACGGAUCAGUCGUAUCCUGAUCAUCCAGACAGAUUUGAUGUGUGGCAGGUGUUGUGUAGAGAGAGUGUGUAUGGACGCUGUUACUGGGAGCUGGAGUGGAGAUUAUGGUGUGUGUAUAUCUGUGUCAUAUAAGAGCAUCAGCAGGAAGGGACGGGGUAAAGAGUGUUUGUUUGGACGUAAUGAUCAGUCCUGGAGUUUGUUCUGCUCUCCCUCCAGAUAUUCAUUCAUACAUAAUAACAUAAAGACUGUUCUCUCCGUGAAGCCCAUCAGCAGUAGAAUAGGAGUGUUUGUGGAUCACAGUGCAGGAACUCUGUCCUUCUACAGCGUCUCUGACACAAUGAGCCUCAUCCACACAGUCCAGACCACAUUCACUCAGACACUCUAUCCUGGGUUUUAUGUUGGUUCUGGGUUUUGGGUUUCUUUGGGAUCAUCAGUGAAACUGUGUUGAUGAAUCAGAAUAGACUGACAAGAGAUUCUACCCAUAAUGCUUUGAGCUGCAUGAUGAAUCAGUAACAGUAGAUGUUAUAUAGUCUCUUCUUUUCUCUUCAUCACAUUAAUACUGCAGCUGAACUUCUGUCAGUGAAAUAACAGUCAGAAUAAAUGUGUGUAAUAAAUCCUCA
Long non-coding RNA from Cyprinus carpio (common carp), 1379 nucleotides. RefSeq lists it as uncharacterized. The transcript is spliced from 3 exons. Lineage: Eukaryota; Metazoa; Chordata; Actinopteri; Cypriniformes; Cyprinidae. The record is from RefSeq and is a predicted model, not a curated record.